GGGUUGUGAGGUUAAGCGACUAAGCGUACACGGUGGAUGCCCUGGCAGUCAGAGGCGAUGAAGGACGUGCUAAUCUGCGAAAAGCGUCGGUAAGGUGAUAUGAACCGUUAUAGCCGGCGAUGUCCGAAUGGGGAAACCCAGUGCAAUUCGUUGCACUAUCGUUUGAUGAAUACAUAGUCAAACGAGGCGAACCGGGGGAACUGAAACAUCUAAGUACCCCGAGGAAAAGAAAUCAACCGAGAUUCCCCCAGUAGCGGCGAGCGAACGGGGAGCAGCCCGGAGUCUGAAUCAGCUUGUGUGUUAGUGGAAGCGUCUGGAAAGUCGCAGGGUACAGGGUGAUACUCCCGUACACUAAAACGCACAGGUUGUGAACUCGAAGAGUAGGGCGGGACACGUGGUAUCCUGUCUGAAUAUGGGGGGACCAUCCUCCAAGGCUAAAUACUCCUGACUGACCGAUAGUGAACCAGUACCGUGAGGGAAAGGCGAAAAGAACCCCGGCGAGGGGAGUGAAAAAGAACCUGAAACCGUGUACGUACAAGCAGUAGGAGCCCACUUGUUGGGUGACUGCGUACCUUUUGUAUAAUGGGUCAGCGACUUAUAUUCUGUAGCAAGGUUAACCGUAUAGGGGAGCCGCAGGGAAACCGAGUCUUAACUGGGCGUUAAGUUGCAGGGUAUAGACCCGAAACCCGGUGAUCUAGCCAUGGGCAGGUUGAAGGUUGGGUAACACUAACUGGAGGACCGAACCGACUAAUGUUGAAAAAUUAGCGGAUGACUUGUGGCUGGGGGUGAAAGGCCAAUCAAACCGGGAGAUAGCUGGUUCUCCCCGAAAGCUAUUUAGGUAGCGCCUCGUGAACUCAUCUUCGGGGGUAGAGCACUGUUUCGGCUAGGGGGUCAUCCCGACUUACCAACCCGAUGCAAACUACGAAUACCGAAGAAUGUUAUCACGGGAGACACACGGCGGGUGCUAACGUCCGUCGUGAAGAGGGAAACAACCCAGACCGCCAGCUAAGGUCCCAAAGUCAUGGUUAAGUGGGAAACGAUGUGGGAAGGCCCAGACAGCCAGGAUGUUGGCUUAGAAGCAGCCAUCAUUUAAAGAAAGCGUAAUAGCUCACUGGUCGAGUCGGCCUGCGCGGAAGAUGUAACGGGGCUAAACCAUGCACCGAAGCUGCGGCAGCGACACUAUGUGUUGUUGGGUAGGGGAGCGUUCUGUAAGCCGUUGAAGGUGGCCUGUGAGGGUUGCUGGAGGUAUCAGAAGUGCGAAUGCUGACAUAAGUAACGAUAAUGCGGGUGAAAAACCCGCACGCCGGAAGACCAAGGGUUCCUGUCCAACGUUAAUCGGGGCAGGGUGAGUCGACCCCUAAGGCGAGGCCGAGAGGCGUAGUCGAUGGGAAACAGGUUAAUAUUCCUGUACUCGGUGUUACUGCGAAGGGGGGACGGAGAAGGCUAUGUUGGCCGGGCGACGGUUGUCCCGGUUUAAGCAUGUAGGCGGAUGUUCCAGGUAAAUCCGGAACGUCACUAACGCUGAGGUGUGAUGACGAGGCACUACGGUGCUGAAGUGACAAAUGCCCUGCUUCCAGGAAAAGCCUCUAAGCAUCAGGUAACAUCAAAUCGUACCCCAAACCGACACAGGUGGUCAGGUAGAGAAUACCAAGGCGCUUGAGAGAACUCGGGUGAAGGAACUAGGCAAAAUGGUGCCGUAACUUCGGGAGAAGGCACGCUGAUGGUAGGUGAAGCGACUUGCUCGUGGAGCUGAAAUCAGUCGAAGAUACCAGCUGGCUGCAACUGUUUAUUAAAAACACAGCACUGUGCAAACACGAAAGUGGACGUAUACGGUGUGACGCCUGCCCGGUGCCGGAAGGUUAAUUGAUGGGGUUAUCCGUAAGGAGAAGCUCUUGAUCGAAGCCCCGGUAAACGGCGGCCGUAACUAUAACGGUCCUAAGGUAGCGAAAUUCCUUGUCGGGUAAGUUCCGACCUGCACGAAUGGCGUAAUGAUGGCCAGGCUGUCUCCACCCGAGACUCAGUGAAAUUGAACUCGCUGUGAAGAUGCAGUGUACCCGCGGCAAGACGGAAAGACCCCGUGAACCUUUACUAUAGCUUGACACUGAACACUGGUCCUUGAUGUGUAGGAUAGGUGGGAGGCUUUGAAGUGUGGACGCCAGUCUGCAUGGAGCCAUCCUUGAAAUACCACCCUUUAAUGGCUGGUGUUCUAACGUGGGCCCCUGAUCGGGGUUGCGGACAGUGUCUGGUGGGUAGUUUGACUGGGGCGGUCUCCUCCUAAAGAGUAACGGAGGAGCACGAAGGUCAGCUAAUCCUGGUCGGACAUCAGGAGGUUAGUGCAAUGGCAUAAGCUGGCUUGACUGCGAGCGUGACGGCGCGAGCAGGUGCGAAAGCAGGUCAUAGUGAUCCGGUGGUUCUGAAUGGAAGGGCCAUCGCUCAACGGAUAAAAGGUACUCCGGGGAUAACAGGCUGAUACCGCCCAAGAGUUCAUAUCGACGGCGGUGUUUGGCACCUCGAUGUCGGCUCAUCACAUCCUGGGGCUGAAGUAGGUCCCAAGGGUAUGGCUGUUCGCCAUUUAAAGUGGUACGCGAGCUGGGUUUAGAACGUCGUGAGACAGUUCGGUCCCUAUCUGCCGUGGGCGCUGGAGAAUUGAGGGGGGCUGCUCCUAGUACGAGAGGACCGGAGUGGACGCAUCACUGGUGUUCGGGUUGUCAUGCCAAUGGCAUUGCCCGGUAGCUAAAUGCGGAAGAGAUAAGUGCUGAAAGCAUCUAAGCACGAAACUUGCCCCGAGAUGAGUUCUCCCUGACUCCUUGAGAGUCCUGAAGGAACGUUGAAGACGACGACGUUGAUAGGCCGGGUGUGUAAGCGCAGCGAUGCGUUGAGCUAACCGGUACUAAUGAACCGUGAGGCUUAACCUUACAACGCCGAAG
RNAcentral lists this ribosomal RNA (2927 nucleotides) under Klebsiella michiganensis. RNAcentral describes it as "bacterial LSU rRNA". It matches the Rfam family "Bacterial large subunit ribosomal RNA". The record is from RNAcentral. Lineage: Bacteria; Pseudomonadati; Pseudomonadota; Gammaproteobacteria; Enterobacterales; Enterobacteriaceae.